CUCCACCCUCUCUACUAUUCUUGCUAAAUAGAUGAAUCCCAAACUCCUCACCAUCUCACUGGCCGCCCCGUCGCCGGCACUGAGUAUAGCUGGUGCAGCGUUGUUCCUGGCAGCACUGGCAUUCACCAUCCUCCUCCUCCGUCUCUCCCGCCCAAUCCCCUGUUUCCUCCUUGCCACCGCCAUUAUUGCUCUCCUCAAUUCCCACCCCUUCCUCCACACUCGGCUCACUCGACCCAACCCAAGCGAACCCUUCUUCUUUCCAUCCCUCCCCUUUGCGACCCCAUUAUUGAAACCAUAUCCCUAUCCCCAGUCCUCCCCUUCCUCUCCGCCCUCGAUCUUGAACUGGGAUGAAACCCUUGGACCGAUACUCCCGAACUGAACCAAAUCCCGGUUUUCUUUGCAACGAUCUAUGAGAACCAGCCUGAUCCCUGUCCAUCCCUUAUCAUUUUACAAUUCCACACCUCUGUCUGUAAUUGCACAGCGGCGGUGACAAUCCUAAGGGAGUUGAUGGCACUACUAGGCGGCAGAGGAGGGGGAGGGGGAGAGGGGCAAUCAAGGAAUGGGGAUAACGAAGUCAAUUUGGGAAUUGAAGAUUUGAUUCCCAAAAAGGACUCGUGGAAGCCAUUUUGGGCUUGAGGGAAAGAUCUGAUUGGAUAUUCGCUAAAUGGGUUGAGAACUUAUUGCUUGGGAUUUCAGGAUAUGGGCUCGACCCGGUCUUCGGAGGUUGUGCACUUGGUCGUUGACCAGGAUGAGACCAAUAGGAUGCUCUCUCUGCAGGACUGAUUGCAACUGUUUCAUCCAAACAUCUUGAUAAAAAUCAAGCAGACACUUACUCAGUUGUCACUCUUGUUGAUUGCCGAAAAUAUUUAGAGCCUCCUCUACAUGAACACAAUGUUGGGUUCUACCAUUCGACCAUAAUGAACACACACACCAUGCACGAAGGAGAAGACUGCUGGGAAGUGGCCAAGAGAUGUCACAAUGCCUUCACCACUGCAACGAACAACAAGAAACACCUCACUUAUAUUGGUGAGUUGAAUUUUCUGACGUGCAAGGCUAGUGAGAAUCCUCAGCUCACUCAAGCAUUGUCACUGCACACCACACUAAUCUCCAUCUAGGAAGAUUCAGUGAUUUAUGAGUCCUCUCCUGCUUAAGAACAGCUUGGUGUGGAGGACUACAUUGGAUGUGCAUCGGUUCAUGGUGUCAGGCAAUCGAUUGCAGUUUUUGAUAUAAUCUGAGAUGGGCAACUUGAAGGUGUAUUUGUGUACCCUUCCCCUUUACAUUCAAGAAGACAAAUGCAGGAUCUUGUUUAGCAUAUGAAGAAACUUCUUGUGCAUGAAAGUCUGGUAGAAACUGAAGAACCUGAUGCUUGAGUUGGAAUUGGAACCUCUUCAUACAUUGAAAUCAAAAUGCAUGUCACUUUAAGGCAUCCUUUCAUAAUUGUGUGACUAUAAUGAUACUAUUCAUUUAAAAUUGAUUCAAGGGAAAUGUCAGCUAUUCUAAUUGAGAGCAAAGAGAACUAAUUAGCUUGAUCAA
Molecule: long non-coding RNA, 1533 nt
Organism: Dioscorea cayenensis subsp. rotundata (Guinea yam)
Lineage: Eukaryota; Viridiplantae; Streptophyta; Magnoliopsida; Dioscoreales; Dioscoreaceae
Exons: 3
Source: RefSeq, a predicted model, not a curated record